GUCAAAGAGGGUAAAAACCCCGUAGAUGAAAUUUGGAAGGCACCUAGGAGGAUCCUGAGUACGGCGGAACACGAGGAAUUCCGUCGGAAUCCGGGAGGACCAUCUCCCAAGGCUAAAUACUCCCUAGUGACCGAUAGUGAACCAGUACCGUGAGGGAAAGGUGAAAAGCACCCCGGAAGGGGAGUGAAAUAGAACCUGAAACCGUGUGCCUACAACAAGUCAAAGCCCGUUAAUGGGUGAUGGCGUGCCUUUUGUAGAAUGAACCGGCGAGUUACGAUUGCAUGCGAGGUUAAGUUGAAGAGACGGAGCCGCAGCGAAAGCGAGUCUGAAUAGGGCGUUUGAGUAUGUAGUCGUAGACCCGAAACCAUGUGAUCUACCCAUGUCCAGGUUGAAGGUGCGGUAAAACGCACUGGAGGACCGAACCCACGUACGUUGAAAAGUGCGGGGAUGAGGUGUGGGUAGCGGAGAAAUUCCAAACGAACUUGGAGAUAGCUGGUUCUCUCCGAAAUAGCUUUAGGGCUAGCCUCGGAAUUGAGAAUGAUGGAGGUAGAGCACUGUUUGGACUAGGGGCCCAUCUCGGGUUACCGAAUUCAGAUAAACUCCGAAUGCCAUUCAUUCAUAUCCGGGAGUCAGACUGUGAGUGAUAAGAUCCAUAGUCGAAAGGGAAACAGCCCAGACCACCAGCUAAGGUCCCAAAAUAUAUGUUAAGUGGAAAAGGAUGUGGGGUUGCACAGACAACUAGGAUGUUGGCUUAGAAGCAGCCACCAUUUAAAGAGUGCGUAAUAGCUCACUAGUCGAGUGACCCUGCGCCGAAAAUGUACCGGGGCUAAACAUAUUACCGAAGCUGUGGAGUACACCUUUAGGUGUAUUGGUAGGAGAGCGUUCUAAGGGCGUUGAAGGCAGAUCGUGAGGACUGCUGGAGCGCUUAGAAGUGAGAAUGCCGGUAUGAGUAGCGAAAGACAGGUGAGAAUCCUGUCCACCGAAUGACUAAGGUUUCCUGGGGAAGGCUCGUCCGCCCAGGGUUAGUCGGGACCUAAGCCGAGGCCGACAGGCGUAGGCGAUGGACAACAGGUUGAUAUUCCUGUACUCGUUGUUUUUGUUUGAGCAAUGGAGGGACGCAGGAGGCUAAGGAAUGCAGACGAUUGGAAAUGUCUGUCUAAGCAGUAAGUCU
Molecule: ribosomal RNA, 1171 nt
Filed under: Enterococcus hirae
Lineage: Bacteria; Bacillati; Bacillota; Bacilli; Lactobacillales; Enterococcaceae
Description: partial 23S ribosomal RNA
Rfam family: Bacterial large subunit ribosomal RNA
Source: RNAcentral